AGCAGCCGCGGUAAUUCCAGCUCCAAUAGCGUAUAUUAAAGUUGUUGCAGUUAAAAAGCUCGUAGUUGAAUUUCGGGGUUAGUGCGCUGGUCGUGCUUCGGUAUGUACUGGUGUUACUGAUUCCUACCUUCUGAAGAACCGUUAUGUCAUUAAUUUGGUGUGGCGGGGAAUCAGGACUGUUACUUUGAAAAAUUGAGUGUUUAAAGCAGGCUCGCGCUUGAAUACAUUAGCAUGGAAUAAUGAAAUAGGACGUUGAUCCUAUUUUGUUGGUUUCUAGGAUUGACGUAAUGAUUAAUAGGGAUAGUUGGGGGCAUUAGUAUUCAAUUGUCAGAGGUGAAAUUCUU
RNAcentral lists this ribosomal RNA (344 nucleotides) under uncultured Glomus. RNAcentral's name for it is "SSU rRNA". It matches the Rfam family "Eukaryotic small subunit ribosomal RNA", at positions 569 to 921 of the family's 1831-position model. The record is from RNAcentral. Lineage: Eukaryota; Fungi; Glomeromycota; Glomeromycetes; Glomerales; Glomeraceae.